This 484-nucleotide ribosomal RNA is filed under the name uncultured bacterium. RNAcentral's name for it is "partial 16S ribosomal RNA". It matches the Rfam family "Bacterial small subunit ribosomal RNA", at positions 29 to 507 of the family's 1533-position model. The record is from RNAcentral.
AAUGAACGCUGGCGGCAGGCCUAACACAUGCAAGUCGAGCGGAAGAAGCGAGCUUGCUCCUGGAUUCAGCGGUGGACGGGUGAAAAAUGCCUAGGAAUCUGGCAGGUAGUGGGGGAUAACGUCCGGAAACGGGAGCUAAUAUCGCAUACGUCCUGUGGGAGAAAGUGGGGGGGCUUCGGAUCGCAUGGCUACAGAGGAGGCUAGAUCGGAUUAGCUAGUUGGUGGGGUAAUGGGCUACCAAGGCGGCGAUCCGUAACUGGUCUGAGGGGAAGACCCGAAACACGGGCACAGAGAAUGAGUCCAGACACCGACAGGAGGACGCAGUGGGGAAUAUUAGGGAAUGGGCGAGUGGCUGAUCCUGGCAUGCCGCGUAAGUGAUGAAGGUCUUCGGAUUGUAAAGUACUGUAGGUUUGGGGGAAGUGAAGUAAGUUUAUCCCGGGCUGUAUUGACGUUACCGGCAGAAUAAGCACCGGCUAACUUCGUG